CAAUAAGCGGAGGAAAAGAAACUAACAAGGAUUCCCCUAGUAACUGCGAGUGAAGCGGGAAAAGCUCAAAUUUAAAAUCUGGCGGUCUUUGGCCGUCCGAGUUGUAGUCUGGAGAAGUGCUUUCCGCGCUGGACCGUGUAUAAGUCUCUUGGAACAGAGCGUCAUAGAGGGUGAGAAUCCCGUCUUUGACACGGACUACCAGUGCUUUGUGAUGCGCUCUCGAAGAGUCGAGUUGUUUGGGAAUGCAGCUCAAAAUGGGUGGUAAAUUCCAUCUAAAGCUAAAUAUUGGCGAGAGACCGAUAGCGAACAAGUACCGUGAGGGAAAGAUGAAAAGCACUUUGGAAAGAGAGUUAAACAGUACGUGAAAUUGCUGAAAGGGAAACGCUUGAAGUCAGUCGCGUCUGCCGGAACUCAGCCUUGCUUUCGCUUGGUGCAUUUUCCGGUAGACGGGCCAGCAUCGAUUUUGACCGUCGGAAAAGGGCCAGGGAAAUGUGGCACCUUCGGGUGUGUUAUAGUCUCUGGUCGUAUACGACGGUUGGGAUCGAGGAACGCAGCGCGCCGCAAGGCAGGGGUUCGCCCACUUUCGCGCUUAGGAUGCUGGCGUAAUGGCUUUAAACGACCCGUCUUGAAACACGGACCAAGGAGUCUAACAUGCCUG
RNAcentral lists this ribosomal RNA (658 nucleotides) under Trametes sp. TG-M23. RNAcentral describes it as "eukaryotic LSU rRNA". It matches the Rfam family "Eukaryotic large subunit ribosomal RNA", at positions 44 to 686 of the family's 3401-position model. Lineage: Eukaryota; Fungi; Basidiomycota; Agaricomycetes; Polyporales; Polyporaceae. The record is from RNAcentral.